GACGAACGCUGGCGGCGUGCUUAACACAUGCAAGUCGAACGGAAAGGCCCCUUUUGGGGUACUCGAGUGGCGAACGGGUGAGUAACACGUGAGUAACCUGCCCUUGACUUCGGGAUAACUUCAGGAAACUGGGGCUAAUACCGGAUAGGAAUCCUUGCUGCAUGGUGGGGGUUGGAAAGCUUCGGCGGUUUUGGAUGGACUCGCGGCUUAUCAGCUUGUUGGUGGGGUAGUGGCUUACCAAGGCUUUGACGGGUAGCCGGCCUGAGAGGGCGACCGGCCACAUUGGGACUGAGAUACGGCCCAGACUCCUACGGGAGGCAGCAGUGGGGAAUAUUGCACAAUGGGCGGAAGCCUGAUGCAGCAACGCCGCGUGCGGGAUGACGGCCUUCGGGUUGUAAACCGCUUUCAGCAGGGGAGAAGCUUGUGGUGACGGUACCUGCAGAAGAAGCACCGGCUAACUACGUG
RNAcentral lists this ribosomal RNA (465 nucleotides) under uncultured bacterium. Its description in RNAcentral is "partial 16S ribosomal RNA". It matches the Rfam family "Bacterial small subunit ribosomal RNA", at positions 28 to 507 of the family's 1533-position model. The record is from RNAcentral.